CCCCAGCGCCACGAGUGGGAACCACGUUUAUUGGGCCUAAAGCGUCCGUAGCCUGUCCUGUAAAUCUUCUGUGAAAUCGUUGAGCUCAACUUAACGUCGUGCAGAAGAGACUGCAAGACUUGGAACCGGGAGGAGUCAGAGGUAUUCCUGAGGGAGCGGUAAAAUGUGAUAAUCUCAGGAGGACCACCUGUGGCGAAGGCGUCUGACUAGAACGGAUUCGACGGUGAGGGACGAAAGCUAGGGGAGCAAUCCGG
This 254-nucleotide ribosomal RNA is filed under the name uncultured archaeon. RNAcentral's name for it is "partial 16S ribosomal RNA". It matches the Rfam family "Archaeal small subunit ribosomal RNA", at positions 474 to 727 of the family's 1478-position model. The record is from RNAcentral.